RNAcentral lists this unclassified non-coding RNA (402 nucleotides) under Hevea brasiliensis (rubber tree). The record is from RNAcentral. Lineage: Eukaryota; Viridiplantae; Streptophyta; Magnoliopsida; Malpighiales; Euphorbiaceae.
GAGUUCACAUGAGCUAUUAAUCACCUGUAGCAAAUUUCAAAAUGAAUGCAGGUUACUAACUCUUAUCAAAAAAAGAAUUUGGAGAAGUAAAACAAUGACCUGGACAGGGUGCUUCAAUAAAGAGUUUCGACAAUAAUUUAGAGUAUGAUAAUGUUGGUUGUAAGUUACUUAUGCUACUUGACCAAUCUAUAAAGAGUGACACUUAAUCAAAUGCCACCUAGCACUUUCAAAUCAAUAAUUUUAUACAAUAUUACUAAGCAAUUUUACUGCAUGUGAUGCAGAAUACACUCCUAAACAUUUUAGUAGUACUUAUUUUAGGAAAAAUAUAGAAAAUAAGAAUUUUAGUUUAAUAAGAAUUUUAGUUUUUUAUGAUUGUGUAUCCUAAAUAGAUUAGGUUCCUAA